AGUUAUGUAAUGGAAUUGAAUGAAGCAAGUGUCAGAUCUACAUCUCUACAAACACUCACUUUAUCAGUUCAGAGAAUAAAGAGAUGAAUUUAAUAAUGCCACUGGACACUUAUACUCUAUCGGAUCCUAAUAAUUUCUCACACUAAUGAAUUCUUCUAUCAACUUCAUGUUAAUCAAGAGGAGACAGAGCCAAGAAGUGAGUAAUUGCUUACUGAAUUGUGAAAGCUGGGAUGAUUUAACUACAGUUUUUGGCUCUUACAAAUAAAGGCUCUAUAAACAUACAUUUACAAGUCUUUGAAUGGACAUAUGCUUCCAUUUCUUUUGUUUAAAUACUAGUCAAAUGGUUGAGUCAUAUGGCAGAUGAAGAUUUAAUAUGGUUGUACAAUUUCACACUCUGAUUUACUGUGUAUAAGAAUUCCAUCUGUUCUACAUUCAUGACCUCUACUUGAUAUGCCUCCCUAGAAUGUGACAGUCCACAGAAAUAUCUGAUUUCAAAGAGAUGCUUGCAUUCUGUACUGAUGCCAUCUAGAAUUGUAAAUGACCAGUGUCACACUGCUAAGUGGAGAAAGCGUGAAAGAAGAAUCCCAUCAGUACAUUCACGAUAGAGGAAAUAAGAAACAAUGAAAGCCACAAGUAAGUCCUGAGUUGAUCAACAGUAUUGCACUUCUCCAGGUUUACUCGAAGGCAGCAAAAUUGGCCCUACUCCCAACCCUGCAACAUGCACCAUUUCCAUAAACAAUCUACAGAGAUGGCUGAGAAAAAGAAAAAGGGGUACUCUCCUUUACCCCUUCUCCAAAGCCCGAUGAAGUAAAGAGUAGAAAUCAAGAGUGUCUACAAGAAUUGGGGAUUGGCAUUGAUUCUCCACUGUGUGAUUACUCAUGCUUUAUGGCAAUGUGCCUAUUUAAAGGGCAGGUAAUGACUUAGCAA
This 927-nucleotide long non-coding RNA is filed under the name Homo sapiens (human). RNAcentral describes it as "long intergenic non-protein coding RNA 2822". The record is from RNAcentral. Lineage: Eukaryota; Metazoa; Chordata; Mammalia; Primates; Hominidae.